GAGGCCUGGGCUUGGCUGGACCACAAGUUUGAUCUGAUUUACGCUAAGCGGGCCUAUGUUCACUGGUAUGUGGGUGAGGGUAUGGAGGAGGGAGAGUUCUCUGAAGCCAGAGAGGACAUGGCGGCUCUGGAGAAGGAUUACAAGGAGGUUGGAAUAGCGUCGAGUAGGGAAUGAGU
Molecule: long non-coding RNA, 176 nt
Organism: Sander lucioperca (pikeperch)
Lineage: Eukaryota; Metazoa; Chordata; Actinopteri; Perciformes; Percidae
Exons: 3
Source: RefSeq, a predicted model, not a curated record